Molecule: ribosomal RNA, 498 nt
Filed under: uncultured bacterium
Lineage: Bacteria
Description: partial 16S ribosomal RNA
Rfam family: Bacterial small subunit ribosomal RNA
Source: RNAcentral
AUUGAACGCUGGCGGCAUGCCUUACACAUGCAAGUCGAACGGUAACGGGCCUUCGGGUGCCGACGAGUGGCGAACGGGUGAGUAAUGUAUCGGAACGUACCUUUCAGUGGGGGAUAACGUAGCGAAAGUUACGCUAAUACCGCAUAUUCUGUGCGCAGGAAAGCAGGGGAUCGCAAGACCUUGCGCUGAUUGAGCGGCCGAUAUCAGAUUAGCUAGUUGGUGAGGUAAAGGCUCACCAAGGCGACGAUCUGUAGCGGGUCUGAGAGGAUGAUCCGCCACACUGGAACUGAGACAGGGUCCAGACUCCUACGGGAGGCAGCAGUGGGGAAUUUUGGACAAUGGGGGCAACCCUGAUCCAGCCAUGCCGCGUGAGUGAAGAAGGCCUUCGGGUUGUAAAGCUCUUUCGGCCGGGAAGAAAUCGUAUCAGCUAAUACCUGGUGCGGAUGACGGUACCGGCAUAAGAAGCACCGGCUAACUACGUGCCAGCCGCCGCUGUAA